GCUGGGCAUGGUGGCUCAUGCCUGUAGUCCUAGCUACUCGGGAGCCUGAGGCAGGAGGAUCGCUUGAGCCCAUGAGUUCAGUGCUGCAGUGAGCUAUGAUCGUGCACUGUACUCCAGCCUGGGCAACAGAGCAAGACCCUGCCUCUA
Molecule: unclassified non-coding RNA, 147 nt
Organism: Papio anubis (olive baboon)
Lineage: Eukaryota; Metazoa; Chordata; Mammalia; Primates; Cercopithecidae
Rfam family: Metazoan signal recognition particle RNA
About the family: The signal recognition particle (SRP) is a universally conserved ribonucleoprotein.
Source: Ensembl